UACGUAGGGGGCUAGCGUUGUCCGGAUUUAUUGGGCGUAAAGAGCGUGUAGGCGGCCAGGUAGGUCUGCUGUGAAAACUCGAGGCUCAACCUCGAGACGUCGGCGGAAACCAUCUGGCUAGAGUCCGGAAGAGGAGAGUGGAAUUCCUGGUGUAGCGGUGAAAUGCGCAGAUAUCGGGAGGAACACCAAUGGCGAAGGCAGCUCGCUGGGACGUGACUGACGCUGAGACGCGAAAGCGUGGGGAGCAAACAGG
RNAcentral lists this ribosomal RNA (253 nucleotides) under uncultured bacterium. RNAcentral's name for it is "partial 16S ribosomal RNA". It matches the Rfam family "Bacterial small subunit ribosomal RNA", at positions 524 to 776 of the family's 1533-position model. The record is from RNAcentral.